Molecule: transfer RNA, 65 nt
Filed under: Bactrocera umbrosa
Lineage: Eukaryota; Metazoa; Arthropoda; Insecta; Diptera; Tephritidae
Description: tRNA-Thr
Rfam family: tRNA
About the family: Transfer RNA (tRNA) molecules are approximately 80 nucleotides in length. Their secondary structure includes four short double-helical elements and three loops (D, anti-codon, and T loops).
Source: RNAcentral
GUUUUAAUAGUUUAAUAAAAACAUUGGUCUUGUAAACCAAAAAUAAGAUCCUAACUUUUAAAACU